GACGAACGCUGGCGGCGUGCCUAACACAUGCAAGUCGAACGUGAAGCCGGUGCUUGCACCGGUGGAAAGUGGCGAACGGGUGAGUAACACGUGAGAAACCUGCCCCGGAGACCGGGACAACCAUUGGAAACGAUGGCUAAUACCGGAUACCCCCGGUUGGUCGCAUGACCAGCCGAGGAAAGGCUCUGGCGCUCUGGGAGGGUCUCGCGGCCUAUCAGUUAGUUGGUGGGUAACGGCCUACCAAGACAUCGACGGGUAGCUGGUCUGAGAGGACGAUCAGCCACAUUGGGACUGAGACACGGCCCAGACUCCUACGGGAGGCAGCAGUGGGGAAUAUUGCGCAAUGGGCGAAAGCCUGACGCAGCAACGCCGCGUGAGGGAUGACGGCUUUCGGGUUGUAAACCUCUUUCAGUGAUGACGAAAAUGACGGUAGUCACAGAAGAAGGUCCGGCCAACUACGUG
This 462-nucleotide ribosomal RNA is filed under the name uncultured bacterium. RNAcentral's name for it is "bacterial SSU rRNA". It matches the Rfam family "Bacterial small subunit ribosomal RNA", at positions 28 to 507 of the family's 1533-position model. The record is from RNAcentral.